AUUGAACGCUGGCGGAAUGCUUUACACAUGCAAGUCGAACGGCAGCACGGACUUCGGACUGGUGGCGAGUGGCGGACGGGUGAGGAAUGCAUCGGAAUCUGCCCAAUCGUGGGGGAGAACCUCGGGAAACCGUGCCUAAUACCGCAUACGACCUUCGGGUGAAAGCAGGGGAUCGCAAGACCUUGCGCGAUUGGAUGAGCCGAUGCCGGAUUAGCUAGUUGGUGGGGUAAAGGCCCACUAAGGCGACGAUCGGUAGCUGGUCUGAGAGGAAGAUCAGCCACACUGUGACUGAGACACGGGCCAGACUCCUACGGGAGGCAGCAGUGGGGAAUAUUGGACAAGGGGCGCAAGCCUGAUCCAGCCAUGCCGCGUGGAUGAAGAAGGCCUUCGGGUUGUAAAGCCCUUUUGUUGGGAAAGAAAAGCAUUCGGUUAAUACCCGGUUGUUCUGACGGUACCCAAAGAAUAAGCACCGGCUAACUUCGUGCCAGCCGCCGCCGUAA
Molecule: ribosomal RNA, 500 nt
Filed under: uncultured bacterium
Lineage: Bacteria
Description: partial 16S ribosomal RNA
Rfam family: Bacterial small subunit ribosomal RNA
Source: RNAcentral